Molecule: ribosomal RNA, 497 nt
Filed under: uncultured Glomeromycotina
Lineage: Eukaryota; Fungi; Glomeromycota
Description: partial small subunit ribosomal RNA
Rfam family: Eukaryotic small subunit ribosomal RNA
Source: RNAcentral
CCAAUAGCGUAUAUUAAAGUUGUUGCAGUUAAAAAGCUCGUAGUUGAAUUUCGGGAUCAAGUCGUCGGUCGUGCUCAGGUACGUACUGGCGUCAUUGAUUUCUCCCUUCUGACGAACCAUGAUGUCAUUAAUUUGGUGUUAUGGGAAAUCAGGACUGUUACUUUGAAAAAAUUAGAGUGUUUAAAGCAGGCUCACGCUUGAAUACAUUAGCAUGGAAUAAUGAAAUAGGACGUUCGAUCCUAUUUUGUUGGUUUUAGGAUCAACGUAAUGAUUAAUAGGGAUAGUUGGGGGCAUUAGUAUUCAAUUGUCAGAGGUGAAAUUCUUGGAUUUAUUGAAGACUAACUACUGCGAAAGCAUUUGCCAAGGAUGUUUUCAUUAAUCAAGAACGAAAGUUAGGGGAUCGAAGACGAUCAGAUACCGUCGUAGUCUUAACCAUAAACUAUGCCGACUAGGGAUCGGAUGAUGUUAAUUUUUUAAUGACUCAUUCGGCGCCUUAC